This 23-nucleotide small nuclear RNA is filed under the name Arabidopsis thaliana (thale cress). RNAcentral describes it as "snRNA_12140". Lineage: Eukaryota; Viridiplantae; Streptophyta; Magnoliopsida; Brassicales; Brassicaceae. The record is from RNAcentral.
AAACUUAGCAGCGAGUAUGAAAA